CCUACGGGGUGCAGCAGUGGGGAAUAUUGCACAAUGGGCGCAAGCCUGAUGCAGCCAUGCCGCGUGUAUGAAGAAGGCCUUCGGGUUGUAAAGUACUUUCAGCGAGGAGGAAGGCGAAAGGUUAAUAACCUUGUCGAUUGACGUUACUCGCAGAAGAAGCACCGGCUAACUCCGUGCCAGCAGCCGCGGUAAUACGGAGGGUGCAAGCGUUAAUCGGAAUUACUGGGCGUAAAGCGCACGCAGGCGGUCUGUCAAGUCGGAUGUGAAAUCCCCGGGCUCAACCUGGGAACUGCAUUCGAAACUGGCAGGCUAGAGUCUUGUAGAGGGGGGUAGAAUUCCAGGUGUAGCGGUGAAGUGCGUAGAGAUCUGGAGGAAUACCGGUGGCGAAGGCGGCCCCCUGGACAAAGACUGACGCUCAGGUGCGAAAGCGUGGGGAGCAAACAGGAUUAGAUACCCUAGUAGUC
This 464-nucleotide ribosomal RNA is filed under the name uncultured bacterium. Its description in RNAcentral is "bacterial SSU rRNA". It matches the Rfam family "Bacterial small subunit ribosomal RNA", at positions 338 to 795 of the family's 1533-position model. The record is from RNAcentral.